AGUGAACGCUGGCGGUAGGCCUAACACAUGCAAGUCGAACGGCAGCACAGUAAGAGCUUGCUCUUACGGGUGGCGAGUGGCGGACGGGUGAGGAAUACAUCGGAAUCUACUUUUUCGUGGGGGAUAACGUAGGGAAACUUACGCUAAUACCGCAUACGACCUACGGGUGAAAGCAGGGGAUCUUCGGACCUUGCGCGAUUGAAUGAGCCGAUGUCGGAUUAGCUAGUUGGCGGGGUAAAGGCCCACCAAGGCGACGAUCCGUAGCUGGUCUGAGAGGAUGAUCAGCCACACUGGAACUGAGACACGGUCCAGACUCCUACGGGAGGCAGCAGUGGGGAAUAUUGGACAAUGGGCGCAAGCCUGAUCCAGCCAUACCGCGUGGGUGAAGAAGGCCUGCGGGUUGUAAGCCCUUUUGUUGGGAAAGAAAAGCAGCAGGUUAAUACCCCGCUGUUCUGACGGUACCCAAAGAAUAAGCACCGGCUAACUUCGUG
This 491-nucleotide ribosomal RNA is filed under the name uncultured bacterium. Its description in RNAcentral is "partial 16S ribosomal RNA". It matches the Rfam family "Bacterial small subunit ribosomal RNA", at positions 29 to 507 of the family's 1533-position model. The record is from RNAcentral.